RNAcentral lists this ribosomal RNA (330 nucleotides) under uncultured bacterium. RNAcentral describes it as "bacterial SSU rRNA". It matches the Rfam family "Bacterial small subunit ribosomal RNA", at positions 568 to 898 of the family's 1533-position model. The record is from RNAcentral.
UCCGUAGGCGGUGUGGCAAGUCGGAAGUGAAAUCUCUGGGCUUAACCCAGAGGCUGCUCCCGAAACUGCCGUGCUAGAGUGUGAGAGAGGCGAGUGGAAUUGCGGGUGUAGCGGUGAAAUGCGUAGAUAUCCGCAGGAACAUCCGAGGCGAAAGCGGCUCGCUGGAUCACAACUGACGCUGAGGGACGAAAGCUAGGGGAGCAAACAGGAUUAGAUACCCUGGUAGUCCUAGCCCUAAACCAUCAGGACUUGGGGUUUGCCCUGUACGGGGCAAGUCCCGUAGCUAACGCGUUAAGUCCUGCGCCUGGGGAGUACGGUCGCAAGGCUGAA